UACGGAGGGGGCUAGCGUUGUUCGGAUUUACUGGGCGUAAAGGGCGCGCAGGCGGCAGAUCAAGUCAGAUGUGAAAUCCCCGGGCUUAACCUGGGAACUGCAUUUGUGACUGCAUGGCUAGAGUGCGGCAGAGGGGGAUGGAAUUCCGCGUGUAGCAGUGAAAUGCGUAGAUAUGCGGAGGAACACCGAUGGCGAAGGCAAUCCCCUGGGCCUGCACUGACGCUCAUGCACGAAAGCGUGGGGAGCAAACAGG
Molecule: ribosomal RNA, 253 nt
Filed under: uncultured bacterium
Lineage: Bacteria
Description: partial 16S ribosomal RNA
Rfam family: Bacterial small subunit ribosomal RNA
Source: RNAcentral